GAUGAAGAACGUAGCGAAAUGCGAUAAGUAAUGUGAAUUGCAGAAUUCAGUGAAUCAUCGAAUCUUUGAACGCACAUUGCGCCCGCCAGUAUUCUGGCGGGCAUGCCUGUUCGAGCGUCAUUUCAACCAUCAAGCCCCAGGCUUGUGUUGGGGCCCCGCGGCUGCCGCGGUCCCCUAAAUCCAGUGGCGGGCUCGUCGUCGUACCGAGCGCAGUAGACAUCCUCGCUCCGGGAACCCGACGGGUGCCGGCCGUGAAACCCCCCACAUCAAGGUUGACCUCGGAUCAGGUAGGAAUACCCGCUGAACUUAAGCAUAUCAAUAAGCGGAGGA
Molecule: unclassified non-coding RNA, 330 nt
Filed under: soil metagenome
Description: partial contains 5.8S ribosomal RNA, internal transcribed spacer 2, and large subunit ribosomal RNA
Rfam family: 5.8S ribosomal RNA (bases 1-120)
Source: RNAcentral